Molecule: long non-coding RNA, 1151 nt
Organism: Populus euphratica (Euphrates poplar)
Lineage: Eukaryota; Viridiplantae; Streptophyta; Magnoliopsida; Malpighiales; Salicaceae
Exons: 6
Source: RefSeq, a predicted model, not a curated record
UGGCGUUUUCUUUCAAUUUUUGUUUUCGUAAUAUGUUUGUUUGGCUAUUAAUUGCAGGCUUUUUUUGCCAUGUUUUUAUUCAUUGGUUUAAAUAACAUGUAUUCUCCCUCCGAGAGGCAGCAAUGCUUAAGGUGCCCAAUCUGGCUAUGCUCAAUGUGCAUUCAUCGAGUCUAGGCGGUCCUCAGGAGGCUGAUGUUGGUGGAUACAGAGAUUAUGCUUCAGCCACAUCACAUUUUGAGGGCCAAUACAGAGCUGUUUAUGGCUCAGCUUCCAUGAGUGGUGCUCAACAGGGAAUUCUUGCAGAAUCACUGGGCAAAGACUUGAAUGAUCAUGUAUUUACCCUAGUGGAAGGCAUUGUCGAUGCUGGCAAAAAGAGUGGCAAUACUGGUAGUUGUGAGGAGUUGUUAGGAUGUGCUGAGGAGGGAGAGAGAUCUGUGGCCGGCCUCUGUUGAGGACCAAUGCAAGGAAAUGACCAUCCACGAGUUGAACUCAGCUCUUAAAGAGCCUGCUGUUAAGGACAUGGUCUUUCCCCCGUGGAUUCGGGUUGGAGGUCUCAUUUCCCCUAAGAUUAGGAAGAAUAUAUCUACAUUCCUUCUCAUCCUAACUGCAGUUUAUCAUUUCAGACACAUUUUUAAUUGUCAUAAACUGGUUCUCCUAACUGCAGUUUAUCAUUUCAGGCACAUUUUCAAUUGUCAUAAACUGGUUCAACUGUAAAAUUGAAUUUAGUGUGGUUGCUUCCGUACCUGCUUGUCCUCGGUAUUGACAGAAGUUUAUAACGGGCAUUGGAUCGCAUUCACAAUACUCUCAAAGAUGUUUUGCGUAGCUGAUCCUCCUUACGACAAGUCACUCCAACAAUUGCAAAGCUUUUUAUCAGGUCUAGUUUCUGAAGAGAAGUUAGAACUAAGGGAUGGGAUGUACUUCUUGAAGAAGUAAAAGCUGGCAUUCUUGUAAUUCACCCAUCAACUCUUGAAAUAGCAAGCACACUGAGAUUCUCUCUCAAAACCUUGCUGCUGACCGUCCGCAAUGUUUUUCAUUAUAAUAUAGAGUAGUCACUCUUUUGUAAUUAGUCAUUACUGAUUACUGUACACAAUGACUACACCGGCCUCGCCGGUGAAUCUAAUAUCGCUCUAUAUAUAUAUAUUAAAUUCUCA